CCUACGGGUGGCAGCAGUGAGGAAUAUUGGUCAAUUGGCGCGAGCCUGAACCAGCCAAGUCGCGUGAGGGCUGAAGGUUCUAUGGAUCGUACACCUCUUUUGUAAGGGAAUAAAGUGUGGGACGUGUCCUAUUUUGUAUGUACCUUAUGAAUAAGGAUCGGCUAACUCCGUGCCAGCCGCCGCGGUAAUCCGGAGGAUCCGAGCGUUAUCCGGAUUUCUUGGGUUUAAAGGGUGCGUAGGCGGCUUUUUAAGUCAGCGGUGAAAGUCUGUGGCUCAACCAUAGAAUUGCCGUUGAAACUGGGGGGCUUGAGUAUGUUUGAGGCAGGUGGAAUGCGUGGUGUAGCGGUGAAAUGCUUAGAUAGCACGCAGAACCCCGAUUGCGAAGGCAGCCUGCCAAGCCAUGACUGACGCUGAUGCACGAAAGCGUGGGGAUCAAACAGGAUUAGAUACCCCGGUAGUC
RNAcentral lists this ribosomal RNA (460 nucleotides) under uncultured bacterium. Its description in RNAcentral is "partial 16S ribosomal RNA". It matches the Rfam family "Bacterial small subunit ribosomal RNA", at positions 338 to 795 of the family's 1533-position model. The record is from RNAcentral.